AGCGAACGCUGGCGGCAGGCCUAACACAUGCAAGUCGAACGAACUCUUCGGAGUUAGUGGCGGACGGGUGAGUAACACGUGGGAACGUGCCUUUUGGUUCGGAAUAACUCAGGGAAACUUGUGCUAAUACCGAAUGUGCCCUUCGGGGGAAAGAUUUAUCGCCAUUAGAGCGGCCCGCGUCUGAUUAGCUAGUUGGUGAGGUAACGGCUCACCAAGGCGACGAUCAGUAGCUGGUCUGAGAGGAUGACCAGCCACACUGGGACUGAGACACGGCCCAGACUCCUAAGGGAGGCAGCAGUGGGGAAUCUUGCGCAAUGGGCGAAAGCCUGACGCAACCAUGCCGCGUGAAUGAUGAAGGUCUUAGGAUUGUAAAAUUCUUUUACCGGGGACGAUAAUGACGGUACCCGGAGAAGAAGCCCCGGCUAACUUCGUG
This 433-nucleotide ribosomal RNA is filed under the name uncultured bacterium. RNAcentral describes it as "partial 16S ribosomal RNA". It matches the Rfam family "Bacterial small subunit ribosomal RNA", at positions 29 to 507 of the family's 1533-position model. The record is from RNAcentral.